This 592-nucleotide ribosomal RNA is filed under the name uncultured Anaplasma sp. Its description in RNAcentral is "bacterial SSU rRNA". It matches the Rfam family "Bacterial small subunit ribosomal RNA", at positions 114 to 741 of the family's 1533-position model. Lineage: Bacteria; Pseudomonadati; Pseudomonadota; Alphaproteobacteria; Rickettsiales; Anaplasmataceae. The record is from RNAcentral.
UGCAUAGGAAUCUACCUAGUAGUAUGGGAUAGCCACUAGAAAUGGUGGGUAAUACUGUAUAAUCCCUGCGGGGGAAAGAUUUAUCGCUAUUAGAUGAGCCUAUGUCAGAUUAGCUAGUUGGUGGGGUAAUGGCCUACCAAGGCGGUGAUCUGUAGCUGGUCUGAGAGGAUGAUCAGCCACACUGGAACUGAGACACGGUCCAGACUCCUACGGGAGGCAGCAGUGGGGAAUAUUGGACAAUGGGCGCAAGCCUGAUCCAGCUAUGCCGCGUGAGUGAGGAAGGCCUUAGGGUUGUAAAACUCUUUCAGUAGGGAAGAUAAUGACGGUACCUACAGAAGAAGUCCCGGCAAACUCCGUGCCAGCAGCCGCGGUAAUACGGAGGGGGCAAGCGUUGUUCGGAAUUAUUGGGCGUAAAGGGCAUGUAGGCGGUUUGGUAAGUUAAAGGUGAAAUACCAGGGCUUAACCCUGGGGCUGCUUUUAAUACUGCAGGACUAGAGUCCGGAAGAGGAUAGCGGAAUUCCUAGUGUAGAGGUGAAAUUCGUAGAUAUUAGGAGGAACACCAGUGGCGAAGGCGGCUAUCUGGUCCGAUACU